RNAcentral lists this ribosomal RNA (445 nucleotides) under uncultured bacterium. RNAcentral describes it as "partial 16S ribosomal RNA". It matches the Rfam family "Bacterial small subunit ribosomal RNA", at positions 354 to 796 of the family's 1533-position model. The record is from RNAcentral.
GUAGGGAAUAUUGGGCAAUGGAUGAAAGUCUGACCCAGCCAUGCCGCGUGCCGGAUGAAGGCGCUCAGCGUUGUAAACGGCUUUUAUUCGGGAAGAAGAGCAGGGAUGCGUCCCUGUGUGACGGUACCGAAUGAAUAAGCACCGGCUAACUCCGUGCCAGCAGCCGCGGUAAUACGGAGGGUGCGAGCGUUGUCCGGAUUUAUUGGGUUUAAAGGGUGCGUAGGUGGCCAAAUAAGUCAGUGGUGAAAUACGGUUGCUCAACAAUCGAGGUGCCAUUGAUACUGCUUGGCUUGAAAUAAUUGGAGGCUGCCGGAAUGGAUGGUGUAGCGGUGAAAUGCAUAGAUAUCAUCCAGAACACCGAUUGCGAAGGCAGGUGGCUACGAUUUAUUUGACACUGAGGCACGAAAGCAUGGGGAGCAAACAGGAUUAGAAACCCGGGUAGUCC